AACGAACGCUGGCGGCAGGCUUAACACAUGCAAGUUGAACGCGAAUAAGAUUGUGCUUGCACAAUUUUAAGAGAGUGGCGCACGGGUGAGUAACACGUGGGAACAUACCUUGAAGUGGGGGAUAACAUUUGGAAACGGAUGCUAAUACCGCAUAAUCCCUGAGGGGGAAAGAUUAAUCGCUUUAAGAUUGGCCCGCGGCAGAUUAGGUAGUUGGUGGGGUAAAGGCCUACCAAGCCGACGAUCUAUAGCUGGUCUGAGAGGACGAUCAGCCACAUUGGAACUGAGACACGGUCCAA
Molecule: ribosomal RNA, 296 nt
Filed under: uncultured bacterium
Lineage: Bacteria
Description: partial 16S ribosomal RNA
Rfam family: Bacterial small subunit ribosomal RNA
Source: RNAcentral